AAAUAGAACUUUGCAGAGAGAGUUAACAGGGCGUGAAACCGUUAAUUGGCAAACGAAUCGGAGCCACGAAGUCGUUUCGUUGUUAGUUGGUGGCGGAGUUCAGUUCGUCUGGCGCAAGCUGGACGGGCGUAUUCUCACGCUCAACUAUCUUUGUAAGCGUACACUGCAACCAGUUAGACGAUCAGUCAUGGGCUGAGUGUCGCUCGUGGUAGUAGUAGCGCGGCUGGGCCUCGGCCCUCCUCGUGUUGCUGGCCACGCGGCGAGUGAACUAUGCCUGAAUACUGACUGGCGAAAUGAAAACCGUUGAAAAACGUUAGAGAAAACGCGGUUGGCUGCAUGAGCGCCUACACGCUCGACUGUCGAGUCUAAGCUUGGCGUCUUCGAAUUCAGACUUGCUUGCUACCAGUGGGGCAACCCCUGGUGCUUGUAUAGCUUCUGUCUAAUCGGGCGUCGACUUGGCGCGGCAUCGUUCGGGCGUGCUGUGAUUGGGUGCCCAUGUAAGCUAAUUCGCAACUUGAAUUGGCAGUGAGUAGGUCGGCUUUCCGAAC
This 548-nucleotide ribosomal RNA is filed under the name Aceria fraxiniflora. RNAcentral describes it as "partial large subunit ribosomal RNA". Lineage: Eukaryota; Metazoa; Arthropoda; Arachnida; Trombidiformes; Eriophyidae. The record is from RNAcentral.